GACUUCUUGGUUCUUGUAUUUGGAUGAGUUUAAGUUAUAAACCCCUUUACAAGUAUCAAUUGGAGGGCAAGUCUGGUGCCAGCAGCCGCGGUAAUUACCAGCUCCAAUAGCGUAUAUUAAAGUUCGUUGCAGUUAAAAAGCUCGUAGUUGGAUUUCUGUUAAUAAUUUAUAUAAAAUAUUUUGAAUAUUUAUAUAAUAUUAACAUAAUUCAUAUUACUAUAUAUUUUAGUAUAUGAAAUUUUACUUUGAGAAAAUUAGAGUGCUUAAAGCAGGCAUAUGCCUUGAAUACUCCAGCAUGGAAUAAUAUUAAAGAUUUUUAUCUUUCUUAUUGGUUCUAAGAUAAGAAUAAUGAUUAAUAGGGACAGUUGGGGGCAUUUGUAUUUAACAGUCAGAGGUGAAAUUCUUAGAUUUGUUAAAGACAAACUAAUGCGAAAGCAUUUGCCAAGGAUGUUUUCAUUAAUCAAGAACGAAAGUUAGGGGAUCGAAGACGAUCAGAUACCGUCGUAGUCUUAACCAUAAACUAUGCCAACUAGAGAUUGGAGGUUGUUCCUUACUCC
RNAcentral lists this ribosomal RNA (557 nucleotides) under Cryptosporidium parvum. RNAcentral's name for it is "SSU rRNA". It matches the Rfam family "Eukaryotic small subunit ribosomal RNA", at positions 490 to 1073 of the family's 1831-position model. Lineage: Eukaryota; Apicomplexa; Conoidasida; Eucoccidiorida; Cryptosporidiidae. The record is from RNAcentral.